GACGAACGCUGGCGGCGUGCCUAAUACAUGCAAGUUGAGCGAUGAAGAUUGGUGCUUGCACCAAUUUGAAGAGCAGCGAACGGGUGAGUAACGCGUGGGGAAUCUGCCUUUGAGCGGGGGACAACAUUUGGAAACGAAUGCUAAUACCGCACAACAACUUUAAACAUAAGUUUUAAGUUUGAAAGAUGCAAUUGCAUCACUCAAAGAUGAUCCCGCGUUGUAUUAGCUAGUUGGUGAGGUAAAGGCUCACCAAGGCGAUGAUACAUAGCCGACCUGAGAGGGUGAUCGGCCACAUUGGGACUGAGACACGGCCCAAACGCCUACGGGAGGCAGCAGUAGGGAAUCUUCGGCAAUGGACGAAAGUCUGACCGAGCAACGCCGCGUGAGUGAAGAAGGUUUUCGGAUCGUAAAACUCUGUUGGUAGAGAAGAACGUUGGUGAGAGUGGAAAGCUCAUCAAGUGACGGUAACUACCCAGAAAGGGACGGCUAACUACGUG
This 497-nucleotide ribosomal RNA is filed under the name uncultured bacterium. Its description in RNAcentral is "partial 16S ribosomal RNA". It matches the Rfam family "Bacterial small subunit ribosomal RNA", at positions 28 to 507 of the family's 1533-position model. The record is from RNAcentral.